Molecule: ribosomal RNA, 1340 nt
Filed under: uncultured bacterium
Lineage: Bacteria
Description: partial 16S ribosomal RNA
Rfam family: Bacterial small subunit ribosomal RNA
Source: RNAcentral
GACGCACUCUGGCGGCGUGCUUACACAUGCAAGUCGAACGGUAAGGCUCCAGCUUGCUGGGGUACACGAGUGGCGAACGGGUGAGUAACACGUGGGUGACCUGCCCUGCACUUCGGGAUAAGCCUGGGAAACUGGGUCUAAUACCGGAUAGGACCGCACCGUGAGGGUGUGGUGGAAAGUUUUUUCGGUGUGGGAUGGGCCCGCGGCCUAUCAGCUUGUUGGUGGGGUAAUGGCCUACCAAGGCGGCGACGGGUAGCCGGCCUGAGAGGGUGGACGGCCACAUUGGGACUGAGACACGGCCCAGACUCCUACGGGAGGCAGCAGUGGGGAAUAUUGCACAAUGGGCGGAAGCCUGAUGCAGCGACGCCGCGUGGGGGAUGACGGCCUUCGGGUUGUAAACUCCUUUCACCAUCGACGAAGGGUUUCUGACGGUAGAUGGAGAAGAAGCACCGGCUAACUACGUGCCAGCAGCCGCGGUAAUACGUAGGGUGCGAGCGUUGUCCGGAAUUACUGGGCGUAAAGAGCUCGUAGGUGGUUUGUCGCGUCGUCUGUGAAAUUCCGGGGCUUAACUCCGGGCGUGCAGGCGAUACGGGCAUAACUUGAGUACUGUAGGGGAGACUGGAAUUCCUGGUGUAGCGGUGAAAUGCGCAGAUAUCAGGAGGAACACCGGUGGCGAAGGCGGGUCUCUGGGCAGUAACUGACGCUGAGGAGCGAAAGCAUGGGGAGCGAACAGGAUUAGAUACCCUGGUAGUCCAUGCCGUAAACGGUGGGCGCUAGGUGUGGGUUUCCUUCCACGGGAUCCGUGCCGUAGCUAACGCAUUAAGCGCCCCGCCUGGGGAGUACGGCCGCAAGGCUAAAACUCAAAGGAAUUGACGGGGGCCCGCACAAGCGGCGGAGCAUGUGGAUUAAUUCGAUGCAACGCGAAGAACCUUACCUGGGCUUGACAUAUACAGGAUCGCGCCAGAGAUGGUGUUUCCCUUGUGGCUUGUAUACAGGUGGUGCAUGGUUGUCGUCAGCUCGUGUCGUGAGAUGUUGGGUUAAGUCCCGCAACGAGCGCAACCCUUGUCUUAUGUUGCCAGCACGUUGUGGUGGGGACUCGUAAGAAACUGCCGGGGUUAACUCGGAGGAAGGUGGGGAUGACGUCAAAUCAUCAUGCCCCUUAUGUCCAGGGCUUCACACAUGCUACAAUGGUCGGUACAGUGGGUUGCCAGUCCGUGAGGGCGAGCUAAUCCCGCAAAGCCGGUCUCAGUUCGGAUCGGGGUCUGCAACUCGACCCCGUGAAGUCGGAGUCGCUAGUAAUCGCAGAUCAGCAACGCUGCGGUGAAUACGUUCCCGGGCCU